RNAcentral lists this ribosomal RNA (497 nucleotides) under uncultured bacterium. RNAcentral describes it as "partial 16S ribosomal RNA". It matches the Rfam family "Bacterial small subunit ribosomal RNA", at positions 28 to 507 of the family's 1533-position model. The record is from RNAcentral.
GAUGAACGCUGGCGGCGUGCCUAAUACAUGCAAGUCGAGCGAACAGACGAGGAGCUUGCUCCUCUGACGUUAGCGGCGGACGGGUGAGUAACACGUGGAUAACCUACCUAUAAGACUGGGAUAACUUCGGGAAACCGGAGCUAAUCCCGGAUAAUAUAUUGAACCGCAUGGUUCAAUAGUGAAAGACGGUUUUGCUGUCACUUAUAGAGGGAUCCGCGCCGCAUUAGCUAGUUGGUCAGGUAACGGCUUACCAAGGCAACGAUGCGUAGCCGACCUGAUAGGGUGAUCGGCCACACUGGAGCUGAGACACGGUCCAGACUCCUACGAGAGGCAGCAGUAGGGAACCGGACGCAACGGUCGAAAGCCUGACGGAGCAACGCCGCGUGAGUGAUGAAGGUCUUGGGAUCGUAAUACUCGGUUACUAGGGAAGAACAAAUGUGGAAGGAAAUAUGCACGUCUUGACGGUACCUAAUCAGAAAGCAACGGCUAACUACGUG